AUGGCGCUCCGGCAACUCUACAUCUGCGUCCUGUUGGUGUUUCUUCUCCUGGUGGUCGCUUUUGCUGGCCGCCCAAGCACGCCACAGCAGACGCCCAUGGCCUUGGCCCGCGACGACUGCUACAAGACUGUGGCGAGUGUGCCGAAGUGGUGCUCGGGGCAAUUCAUCCAGGCGCUCUUCACCGGCAACAAGAACAUCAUCACCGAAUACUGUUGCGCACAGCUCACCUGCGUCGGCGAGGCAACUUGUGCCUCCGCGCUCCACGGCGUCUGCCCACCCCCCAAGACUGACCUGCCAUGCCCCCCGCACCAGGGCGGUGGCAUAUGCCUUACCCAUAUGGUGUGCCAGUGUGGCUGUGGCCCACCUAUCACUGGCAGGGAGGGAGUCAUAAAGGAGUUGGGUGCCUUGCGUGUGCUGAUCUUUGUGCAGAAAACCCCUCAUGAUUUGUUUAGUUACCCAGAAAAGCCCUUGACUGACCCUGACCAGCAGAAAAAGAUGCUGACAGUUUUUUUUCCGCAAAAACAACCCACGCACAGGGCCCUUUCGGCACAGGAUCCUUUGGAAUGGCCGUCUUGGACGUUGUUCGAGUCCAGGGCACAUGCGGUUAGGUUAUCUCCUGGGUUGCUAUGGCCAGUUCAGAAUCGUUGCUUUGUAGCCCCAAUUCCCAAGUCAUCUUGGGUAUGCGGUCGUUUGCCGGUUUGGAGGUCGCUAGAGAGGCUGGUCGUCCCUGCGUUCGGAUCGAGUUCUGGUAAUUGGUUUGUUUGGUUUGGUGUCUCCUGGGUUAUCACGUGCCCGUGUAAAAACACAAAACAAGCGUAUCCAUUGUCGUCAUGA
This 834-nucleotide ribosomal RNA is filed under the name Triticum aestivum (bread wheat). RNAcentral describes it as "partial small subunit ribosomal RNA". The record is from RNAcentral. Lineage: Eukaryota; Viridiplantae; Streptophyta; Magnoliopsida; Poales; Poaceae.